CCUCCCUCUUAAACCCACACCCUGGAUGCAGGCAGGCGUGCACACACCGGCAGAUUGACUCAGCUUCCGCAUCGCUCUCCCUUCUCUCCAUCUCUGCUGCCUCUAUCCCUCCACUGGUGGAUUUUUAGCCCACUUCUGUCGCCAACAUGUCUGACAAGCCUGAUAUGACUGAGAUUGCCCGUUUCGACAAGGCAAAGCUGAAGAAGACGGAGACAAAAGAGAAAAACCCUCUGCCCACCAAAGAGACCAUCGAGCAAGAGAGGAAAGGCGAUGCCACACCUUGACUUCGAGCACAUGAAGAAAAGACGCUGAGAUGCCACAGCAAAAAGCACUUUUUUUUUAUCAUCACAGUAUUUCAAUCGCUUGCUUUGUCUUCAGAAAAGGGUGCUCUUGAGCAUCGCGGGGUGCCUAAGGGUUUAUGGCAUCCCCUCAUUGGGGGCUCUCUUACCACAUGGGUGGAAAAAUGUUAGCCUGGGUGCCUGUCUUGCACAGUUAGAAUAUAGCUAACAUGUCCAAUAUUGCCAAACUGGGGAGUGGUGUAGUUGUGUAGUGAUGUAGCACAGAGAGAGAGGCAGGCAUCCAGGCUAGUGGGAGGGUGGGGGGGGGAGAGGGGGGUAUCAGAUGAGAGCAAUCGGAGUCUAAUCAUGUGGGAUGUUUUCUUAUUAAACUUUUUACUUUUAUUUAUGAAAUAAAUAUGAAGACGUGAAACCAGUCAGUCCUGUGCCUAUUGCUGUCUCCUUUAUGUCUGUGUAAUACCCACACCUAUGAGUGAUCGUGCUGAGACAUGGUAUAAAUACACAAAUAAAAAUGAGUUAUCUAGAUUGCAGAUUGGUCAGUACUGUAUAAAAAGUAUGUAAGUAUACAAUUAUGUAAUUCACACCUCCUAAGUGAGUAUAUACAGAGCCAUAUUAAAGUAAUGACAUUUGAAAACUCCAUUACU
This is a long non-coding RNA of Eleginops maclovinus (Patagonian blennie), 940 nucleotides long. RefSeq lists it as uncharacterized. The transcript has 3 exons. Lineage: Eukaryota; Metazoa; Chordata; Actinopteri; Perciformes; Eleginopidae. The record is from RefSeq and is a predicted model, not a curated record.